This 427-nucleotide ribosomal RNA is filed under the name uncultured bacterium. Its description in RNAcentral is "bacterial SSU rRNA". It matches the Rfam family "Bacterial small subunit ribosomal RNA", at positions 28 to 453 of the family's 1533-position model. The record is from RNAcentral.
GAUGAACGCUGGCGGCGUGCUUAACACAUGCAAGUCGAACGGGAUCCAGGCAGCUUGCUGCCUGGUGAGAGUGGCGAACGGGUGAGUAAUGCGUGACCGACCUGCCCCAUACACCGGAAUAGCUCCUGGAAACGGGUGGUAAUGCCGGAUGCUCCGACUCCUCGCAUGGGGUGUCGGGAAAGAUUAUAUCGGUAUGGGAUGGGGUCGCGUCCUAUCAGGUAGUCGGCGGGGUAACGGCCCACCGAGCCUACGACGGGUAGCCGGCCUGAGAGGGCGACCGGCCACAUUGGGACUGAGAUACGGCCCAGACUCCUACGGGAGGCAGCAGUGGGGAAUAUUGCACAAUGGGCGCAAGCCUGAUGCAGCGACGCCGCGUGCGGGAUGACGGCCUUCGGGUUGUAAACCGCUUUUGAUCGGGAGCAAGCCU